CUCCGGGACGGGUGAGAUUCACUUUCGAUUCAUUCCGGAAAUCGAAAUGCGCAUGCGCAGAAUUUUAAACAUCAAACCCGAUUGCAAUUGCAGUUAACUUGAGUCAGCAUGGCGGCUCCCAUAUGAAUGUGAUGAAUACGAAGAAAACGCUUCUUAACUGACUAAAAAACAACAGACAUCAUAUAUGUUACCAUAAAUUCAUAAAAUGACCCCUUCACUGGGUUGAAUAUAGGUUCUUAUACUGAGCUGGAGUUUUGCUACUCUGUGAACAAUUACAAUGGAGAGAAAUGAUCAUGACUUCUAAAGUACUUUUACA
Molecule: long non-coding RNA, 316 nt
Organism: Saccostrea cuccullata (small rock oyster)
Lineage: Eukaryota; Metazoa; Mollusca; Bivalvia; Ostreida; Ostreidae
Exons: 3
Source: RefSeq, a predicted model, not a curated record